GCAGGGACAGCAGAGAAGGAGAGUAGUAACAGUAGAGUAGUAACAGUAGAGAGUAGUAACAGUAGAGUAGUAACAGUAGAGUAGUAACAGUAGAGAGUAGUAACAGUAGAGUAGUAACAGUAGAGAGUAGUAACAGUAGAGUAGUAACAGUAGAGAAGGAGAGUAGUAACAGUAGAGAAGGAGAGUAGUAACAGUAGAGUAGUAACAGUAGAGUAGUAACAGUAGAGUAGUAACAGUAGAGUAGUAACAGUAGAGUAGUAACAGUAGAGAAGGAGAGUAGUAACAGUAGAGUAGUAACAGUAUAGUUGGAGAGUAGUAACAGUAGAGUAAGAGAGUAGUAACAGUAGAGAAGGAGAGUAGUAACAGUAGAGUAGUAACAGUAGAGUAGUAACAGUAGAGAGUAGUAACAGUUGAGUAGUAACAGUAGAGAGUAGUAACAGUAGAGAAGGAGAGUAGUAACAGUAGAGAAGGAGAGUAGUAACAGUAGAGAGUAGUAACAGUAAGAAGAGUAGUAGUAACAGUAGAGAGUAGUAACAGUAGAGUUGGAGAGUAGUAACAGUAGAGUAGUAACAGUAGAGUAGUAACAGUAGAGAGUAGUAACAGUAGAGAGUAGUAACAGUAGAGAAGGAGAGUAGUAACAGUAGAGAGUAGUAACAGUAGAG
Oncorhynchus tshawytscha (Chinook salmon) is the source of this 662-nucleotide long non-coding RNA. NCBI's taxonomy places the organism in Eukaryota, Metazoa, Chordata, Actinopteri, Salmoniformes, Salmonidae. The record is from Ensembl.